GGACGGGUGAGUAACGCGUGAGCAAUCUGCCCUAUACAACGGGAUAACACAGAGAAAUUUGUGCUAAUACCAUAUAAGACUACAAGAGCCGCAUGGCUCGGUGGUAAAAGCUACGGCGGUAUAGGAGGAGCUCGCGUCCCAUUAGUUAGUUGGCGAGGGUAAUGGCCCACCAAGACAGCGAUGGGUAGCCGGCCUGAGAGGGCGAACGGCCACACUGGAACUGAGAUACGGUCCAGACUCCUACGGGAGGCAGCAGUGGGGAAUAUUGGGCAAUGGAGGCAACUCUGACCCAGCAACGCCGCGUGAAUGAAGAAGGUCUUCGGAUUGUAAAGUUCUUUAAUUGGGGACGAAAGUAAUGACGGUACCCAAAGAAUAAGCCACGGCUAACUACGUGCCAGCAGCCGCGGUAAUACGUAGGUGGCAAGCGUUGUCCGGAAUGACUGGGCGUAAAG
This 452-nucleotide ribosomal RNA is filed under the name uncultured bacterium. RNAcentral's name for it is "bacterial SSU rRNA". It matches the Rfam family "Bacterial small subunit ribosomal RNA", at positions 100 to 565 of the family's 1533-position model. The record is from RNAcentral.